Molecule: ribosomal RNA, 1620 nt
Filed under: Triticum aestivum (bread wheat)
Lineage: Eukaryota; Viridiplantae; Streptophyta; Magnoliopsida; Poales; Poaceae
Description: partial small subunit ribosomal RNA
Source: RNAcentral
AUGCCACACACACUUCUACAAAAAGGGGUAUUGCAACCUGUCAAUUAUAAAAAGGUACUUAAGUUUGGCUUAGCCUGCUCUACAGGUGAACCACAAACGCUUGAUGAGGCAUUAGGUGACACAAAGUGCAAGCAAGCUAUGGAAGAAGAGUACAGAGCACUCCAGAAAAAUAAGACAUGGCACCUAGUUCCUCCACGGCAAGGUAAAAAUCUCAUUGAUUGCAAGUGGGUAUUCAAAAUAAAAAGGAAGUCUGAUGGAACUAUUGAUCUGUAUAAGGCUAGACUUGUUGCCAAACGAUUUAAGGAACGGUAUGGCAUAGACUAUGAGGACACCUUUAGUCCCGUUGUAAAAGCUGCCACCAUUCGUCUUGUUUUGUCUAUUGCUGUUUCCGGGGGAUGGAGUCUCAGACAGCUAGAUGUUCAGAACGCGUUCCUUCAUGGUGUUCUGGAAGAGGAAGUGUAUAUGAAGCAAUCUCCUGGGUUUGAGAACAAAAACACACCUUUCCAUGUUUGCAAGUUGGAUAAAGCUUUGUAUGGCCUUAAACAAGCUCCUAGGGCAUGGUACUCCCGUCUCAGUAAAAAAUUACAAGCACUUGGUUUUUUUCCUUCCAAGUCUGACACAUCACCGUUCAUUUACAAUAAGUGCAACACAUCUAUCUUUGUGCUCAUCUAUGUUGACGAUAUUAUUGUUACAAGCUCAUCAGAUGAAGCAGUGACAGGACUGUUGAAAGAUCUUAGUGCUGAAUUUGCACUGAAGGAUCUAGGAGACUUGCAUUUUUUCCUAGGUAUUGAGGUAAGGAAACAAGGAAGUGAACUUCACCUAUCUCAGGAAAAAUAUGCUACUGAUCUUGUAAGAAGAGCUGGGCUACAGGGAUGCAAGUCAUCACCAACACCAAUGUCAAGUUCUGAAAAGAUUUCUCUUACAGAGGGAGAACUCCUGAAUCAGGAAGAUAGCACCAAGUACAGAAGCUUAGUUGGUGCACUCCAGUACUUGACACUUACAAGACCAGAUAUUUCUUUUGUUGUGAACAAAGUUUGUCAGUUUCUUCAUGCUCCCACUACAGUUCAUUGGACUGCUGCAAAACGGAUAGUAAGAUAUGUCAAAGACACUGUUAAUGUUGGUCUUACUUUCUCUAAGUCUACUUCAACUCUUGUCAGUGCAUUCUCUGAUUCUGACUGGGCAGGAGAUAUUGAUGAUAGGCGCUCUACUGGUGGUUUUGCAGUAUUCUUUGGACCUAACCUAAUAUCUUGGUGUGCAAAGAAACAGGCUACAGUCUCAAGAUCAAGUACAGAAGCAGAAUACAAGGCUUUGGCUAAUGCAACAACAGAAAUUAUCUGGGUUCAAUCCAUGCUCAGAGAACUUGGAAUAAAAUAUACUCAAGCUCCAUGUCUUUGGUGUGACAAUCUUGGUGCCACCUAUUUGUCUGCAAAUCCUGUGUUUCAUGCAAGAACAAAACAUAUUGAGAUUGACUUCCACUUCGUUCGAGAAAGGGUUGCUAGCAGGAAGCUUGAGAUCCGGUUUGUGCAUUCUAGAGAUCAAGUUGCAGAUGGCUUCACCAAGGCAUUGCCUACAAGGAGUUUUGAAGAAUUCAAACGUAAUCUCAACUUAACAAAGUUGUGA